Callithrix jacchus (white-tufted-ear marmoset) is the source of this 164-nucleotide small nuclear RNA. Its record names the gene U1. It matches the Rfam family "U1 spliceosomal RNA". From Rfam's summary of the family: U1 is a small nuclear RNA (snRNA) component of the spliceosome (involved in pre-mRNA splicing). Its 5' end forms complementary base pairs with the 5' splice junction, thus defining the 5' donor site of an intron. There are significant differences in sequence and secondary structure between metazoan and yeast U1 snRNAs, the latter being much longer (568 nucleotides as compared to 164 nucleotides in human). Lineage: Eukaryota; Metazoa; Chordata; Mammalia; Primates; Cebidae. The record is from Ensembl.
AUACUUACCUGGCAGGGGAGAUACCAUGAUCACGAAGGUGGUUUUCCCAGGGCUAGGCUCAUCCAUUACACUCCGGAUGUGCUGACCCCUGCGAUUUCCCCAAAUGUGGGAAACUUGACUGCAUAAUUUGUGGUAGUGGGGGACUGCAUUCGCGCUUUCCCAAA